This 471-nucleotide ribosomal RNA is filed under the name uncultured Thermus sp. RNAcentral describes it as "bacterial SSU rRNA". It matches the Rfam family "Bacterial small subunit ribosomal RNA", at positions 909 to 1382 of the family's 1533-position model. The record is from RNAcentral. Lineage: Bacteria; Thermotogati; Deinococcota; Deinococci; Thermales; Thermaceae.
AUUGACGGGGCCGCACAAGCGGUGGAGCAUGUGGUUUAAUUCGAAGCAACGCGAAGAACCUUACCAGGUCUUGACAUCCCGAUGCUAUUUCUAGAGAUAGAAAGUUACUUCGGUACAUCGGUGACAGGUGGUGCAUGGUUGUCGUCAGCUCGUGUCGUGAGAUGUUGGGUUAAGUCCCGCAACGAGCGCAACCCCCGCCGUUAGUUGCCAGCGGUUCGGCCGGGCACUCUAACGGGACUGCCCGCGAAAGCGGGAGGAAGGAGGGGACGACGUCUGGUCAGCAUGGCCCUUACGGCCUGGGCGACACACGUGCUACAAUGCCCACUACAAAGCGAUGCCACCCGGCAACGGGGAGCUAAUCGCAAAAAGGUGGGCCCAGUUCGGAUUGGGGUCUGCAACCCGACCCCAUGAAGCCGGAAUCGCUAGUAAUCGCGGAUCAGCCAUGCCGCGGUGAAUACGUUCCCGGGCCUU